Molecule: ribosomal RNA, 438 nt
Filed under: uncultured fungus
Lineage: Eukaryota; Fungi
Description: eukaryotic LSU rRNA
Rfam family: Eukaryotic large subunit ribosomal RNA
Source: RNAcentral
GACCUCAAAUCGGGUGGGACUACCCGCUGAACUUAAGCAUAUCAAUAAGCGGAGGAAAAGAAACUAACAAGGAUUCCCCUAGUAACGGCGAGUGAAGAGGGAAAAGCCCAAAUUUUGAAUCUGGUGUCUUUGACUCCCGAGUUGUAAUCUAGAGAAGUGUUUUCCGUGUCGGACCCAUGCACAAGUUCCCUGGAACGGGGCGUCAUAGAGGGUGAGAAUCCCGUAUAUGGCAUGGGACUGCCGAUGCAUUUGUGAUACACUCUCAACGAGUCGAGUUGUUUGGGAAUGCAGCUCAAAAUGGGUGGUAAAUUCCAUCUAAAGCUAAAUAUUGGCGAGAGACCGAUAGCGAACAAGUACCGUGAGGGAAAGAUGAAAAGCACUUUGGAAAGAGAGUGAAACAGUACGUGAAAUUGUUGAAAGGGAAGCGUUUGAAGUCAG